This 301-nucleotide ribosomal RNA is filed under the name uncultured bacterium. Its description in RNAcentral is "partial 16S ribosomal RNA". It matches the Rfam family "Bacterial small subunit ribosomal RNA", at positions 509 to 807 of the family's 1533-position model. The record is from RNAcentral.
CAGUCGCCACGGUAAUACGUAGGGUGCGAGCGUUAAUCGGUAUUACUGGGCGUAAAGCGUGCGCAGGCGGUUAUAUGAGACAGAUGUGAAAUCCCCGGGCUCAACCUGGGACCUGCAUUUGUGACUGUAUAGCUAGAGUACGGUAGAGGGGGAUGGAAUUCCGCGUGUAGCAGUGAAAUGCGUAGAUAUGCGGAGGAACACCGAUGGCGAAGGCAAUCCCCUGGACCUGUACUGACGCUCAUGCACGAAAGCGUGGGGAGCAAACAGGAUUAGAUACCCGCGUAGUCCCUGUCUCUUAUAC